CACGUAGGAGGCAAACGUUAUCCGGAUUUACUGGGCGUAAAGCGCGUGUAGGUGGUUCUGUAAGUAGGGCGUGAAAGCUCCCGGCUCAACUGGUAGAGGCCGUUCUAAACUGCAGAGCUAGAGGAUGGUAGAGGGAGGUGGAAUUCCAGGUGUAGCGGUGGAAUGCGCAGAUAUCUGGAGGAACACCAGUGGCGAAGGCGGCCUCCUGGACCAUUCCUGACACUCAGACGCGAAAGCUAGGGUAGCAAACGGGAUUAGAUACCCGUGUAGU
This 271-nucleotide ribosomal RNA is filed under the name uncultured prokaryote. RNAcentral describes it as "partial 16S ribosomal RNA". It matches the Rfam family "Bacterial small subunit ribosomal RNA", at positions 524 to 794 of the family's 1533-position model. The record is from RNAcentral.